RNAcentral lists this ribosomal RNA (503 nucleotides) under uncultured Acidovorax sp. RNAcentral's name for it is "bacterial SSU rRNA". It matches the Rfam family "Bacterial small subunit ribosomal RNA", at positions 379 to 875 of the family's 1533-position model. Lineage: Bacteria; Pseudomonadati; Pseudomonadota; Betaproteobacteria; Burkholderiales; Comamonadaceae. The record is from RNAcentral.
AAGCCUGAUCCAGCCAUGCCGCGUGCAGGAUGAAGGCCUUCGGGUUGUAAACUGCUUUUGUACGGAACGAAAAGGCUUUCUCUAAUAAAGGGGGCUCAUGACGGUACCGUAAGAAUAAGCACCGGCUAACUACGUGCCAGCAGCCGCGGUAAUACGUAGGGUGCAAGCGUUAAUCGGAAUUACUGGGCGUAAAGCGUGCGCAGGCGGUGAUGUAAGACAGUUGUGAAAUCCCCGGGCUCAACCUGGGAACUGCAUCUGUGACUGCAUCGCUGGAGUGCGGCAGAGGGGGAUGGAAUUCCGCGUGUAGCAGUGAAAUGCGUAGAUAUGCGGAGGAACACCGAUGGCGAAGGCAAUCCCCUGGGCCUGCACUGACGCUCAUGCACGAAAGCGUGGGGAGCAAACAGGAUUAGAUACCCUGGUAGUCCACGCCCUAAACGAUGUCAACUGGUUGUUGGGUCUUCACUGACUCAGUAACGAAGCUAACGCGUGAAGUUGACCGCCUG